Molecule: RNase P RNA, 347 nt
Filed under: Halieaceae bacterium
Lineage: Bacteria; Pseudomonadati; Pseudomonadota; Gammaproteobacteria; Cellvibrionales; Halieaceae
Description: RNase P RNA component class A
Rfam family: Bacterial RNase P class A
About the family: Ribonuclease P (RNase P) is a ubiquitous endoribonuclease, found in archaea, bacteria and eukarya as well as chloroplasts and mitochondria.
Source: RNAcentral
UGAGUCAGUUAAACGGUCGCUGUACCUUAUAGGUGCAGAGGAAAGUCCGGGCUCCAUUGGGUCAGAGCGCCAGGUAACACCUGGGGAGCGUGAGCUCACGGAAAGUGCAGCAGAAAGGAAACCGCCUGAAUGUCAUUCAGGUAAGGGUGAAAAGGUGCGGUAAGAGCGCACCGCGCGGCUGGUAACAGGCGUGGCGAUGGUAAACCCCGCUCGGAGCAAGACCAAAUAGGGAUCCUUAUGCCGUGACCCUCGGCGGAUCCGGGUAGGUCGCUACAGGCACUUGGCGACGAGUGUCGCAGAUGAAUGACCGUUCACGACAGAACCCGGCUUAUCGAUUGACUCACUUA